This 1324-nucleotide long non-coding RNA is filed under the name Monodelphis domestica (gray short-tailed opossum). RNAcentral describes it as "lncRNA (ENSMODG00000031462.2)". Lineage: Eukaryota; Metazoa; Chordata; Mammalia; Didelphimorphia; Didelphidae. The record is from RNAcentral.
GGACUCUAAGAUAUAUCAGCCAUUGAGAAGGCCAAAGAAAAUCUCUAAAAUUCUUGAAAACAAACUAUACUUUUAAGCAGACAACUGUUCUUUCUCUUUUUAUAGGCAUAAAUGCCCUAUCAAUCUUGUUUACCCUGUGGCUUUGUUUAGCAAAUCUUUUAUUUUAUGGGUAAAAGAAAAUUUUUUUUCAGUGCCCUAGAGAUAAUCACAAAUUUUAAAAAUCAGAAGAGUAUGAAUUAAAGAGGCUUUAUUACCAUAGUUUAAAAUCCCUCAACAACUCUUAAGAGAUAUAUCAAAUGGGAGUUGUUAAAAUGCCUUCAGUAUAGAAUUCGGCCCUCAAAAAAGCAUCUAGGAAAGUUUCUCCUUACUGUUAUUUAAGUUAGAAAUCGUAUCUGUGACAAGUUCCAGAUCUUGCUGUUGGAGCGGAGGAGAUCUAUGGCUGGGGACACAGGAAAGCCUCUUAAAUUAAGAUCUUGAGCCAGAAUCUUCCCUCAUCUGUUCCCUAUCGGUUUGGGAAUUCUUUGAGCCUGGCCCAAGCUACCUACCUGUCCUACCAGCAGCAUCUCCUCUUCAAAGGACCAUUGGCAAAACCUCUCAGUUCCAUGCGGAGAUGGAAAAGUCUUUGAUCCAAGUUCAGGCUCACUGCACAGUCAGAGCAAUAAGCAUUAGAGAAAAACACACAGCUCAUUUGUUUAAAACUUGACUCUGCCCAUUGUGAUUUAAACAGGUUUGAGGUAGGUUGUGCUUCUUCCUGCUCUGGCCCAGGGCAACGUGGAAUCCAGGCUCCUUCCUUUCAAAGGAGCUCAGCUCAGCUCAGGCCUAUGGCUCAAGCUUAGGUAACACUGAGGCUUUGAAAGGAAAAAAAGAAAGAGAAUGAGAGAGAAAAAAAGAAGGGAAAAUAAAACAGAAAACACUGCACCAGUGGGAGAAGCGGACAAUUCAGUCCAGACUCAAACUGGGCUUCUAGUGCCUGGGAGCAGCAGAGGACAGCUAAAGAAUGUGAACCCAAAAUGCCCUGAAGUGAAGGAUCCUUCUGUUUCCACAAGUUCUCUUCAUCUCUUUUGGAGGUCAGGGAAUACUACAGCCCAUCUCCUGGGCAGGAAGUAGACAGCUCUACCGCCACUCCCCACAGAGCACUGGCCAUAAAUGCUUGUGGAACUGAAUUUAAUUGAGCUCAUAAAAUAGCUAAAAAGAAAUAGAGGUUAAAACAAAUAUGCAGAAAGCCUGGCUUAAAACCAGCAAUACCAUAUCAUCGUGUUGGUAUGUAUACAUGAAGCUGACAAGAAGGUAAUAAAUGUGUGAAAAAAGGAAUUAGGAUUUCUCA